Molecule: ribosomal RNA, 490 nt
Filed under: uncultured bacterium
Lineage: Bacteria
Description: bacterial SSU rRNA
Rfam family: Bacterial small subunit ribosomal RNA
Source: RNAcentral
UUAUGGCUCAGGAUGAACGCUGGCGGCGCGCUUAACACAUGCAAGUCGAACGGUUAAAGCACCUCCGGGUGUGCAUAAAGUGGCGAACGGCUGAGUAACACGUGGGCAACCUGCCCCCCGCACCGGGAUAGCCUCGGGAAACCGUGGGUAAUACCGGAUACUCCGCCACCCCGCAUGGGGGAGGCGGGAAAGCGUACACGGCGGGGGAUGGGCCCGCGGCCUGUUAGCUCGUUGGCGGGGUAACGGCCCUCCAAGGCGAUUAUGGGUAGCCGGGUUGAGAGACCGACCGGCCAGAUUGGGACUGAGACACGGCCCAGACUCCUACGGGAGGCAGCAGUGGGGAAUCUUGCACAAUGGGCGAAAGCCUGAUGCAGCGAACCGCCGCGUGCGGGAUGAAGGCCCUCGGGUUGUAAACCGCUUUCAGCAGGGACGAGGCGCAAGUGACGGUACCUGCAGAAGAAGCCCCGGCUAACUACGUGCCAGCAGCUGC